RNAcentral lists this long non-coding RNA (283 nucleotides) under Lathyrus oleraceus (garden pea). RNAcentral's name for it is "Pisum sativum (pea) long non-coding RNA (PSAT_LNC019117)". Lineage: Eukaryota; Viridiplantae; Streptophyta; Magnoliopsida; Fabales; Fabaceae. The record is from RNAcentral.
AAGAAUGCUUGGUGAUCUCAAACCACUCACAAGAGGUCCCGCCCAAAGGCAAAGGGAACCAAGAUGCUAUGAUCCUUGAGGCAAGAUGCAAAUGCAAUGCUAUGGUGCCAUGAGGGAUCUUAGGGACAAAAUUGGGGUCUUAUAGUCAAGGUUGAUUUGACUUUUGUUGGAUUAAAAUCAUUGGAUUUAGGGGAUUGAUGAAAUGUACAUUUCAUCUCCCAAAAUGAAUGAGUGAUUUUAAUUUGAUAAAAUUCCUCCCAUGACCAAUUUGUGUUUGUCUCAU